UACGUGUUUUCAAACCUAAAACAACAUUAUACGACAUGUUACGAUGCUUGGCUUUGGAAACGGACCUCGUAGACCCGACCGGGCUAUCCAAAAACCCUAGAAACGAGUUAGCGGGCCUUGGCCCAACACACAAAACCCUAUCCUAUAAAAACAAACUUACACACACACAUACAGGCCGCACUCUCUGUUUCCUCUCUAGCUCUGGCAACCGGAGCCGCUUUUCCGGCGGGUUUUCCGGCCAUCCGACCUCCGGCCACGCACAACACCCACCACCUCCACUCUCCGCCUUAAACCACCAUCACCCUCUCAUCUCUCUGUUACAAUAACAUCAUCGGAGUUCAUGGGAUACGUCACCAGACACUACCGGAGAUACACGGGGACCGAUGGAAGCCGUUUCUUCUUGUUUCGAAGUUCGCCGGGACAUUCGGAAUUCGCGACAGAACAUACGGAUCAACGUCUUGGCCACUGUUAAAGUAUAUUAACUUUUGAUUUCAAGCACCGAGGAAAGCCGACAUCAUCGGAGAAUGUAUUCGUCACGGGAACAAUCCUGUCGUCGCCGGAGAUCGGAAACCCGCGAGUGUUCUUUCGAUUCGGAUAACCAAUACGCUCGCUCUCUUAGAUUCUUCUAAAUCUCUACUCGUGCGAUAAUUCAAGGAAUCCUCAAACGCAACCAAUGAUUCUGAUGAAGCAGUAAAUCUAGUAGGAUUGCCUAGAAACGCAUUUAAACUUUAAUACUUGUUGUAUCGUAAUUUAUUUUCAAGCAUGUUGUAUUUUGUUUCCAAACCUUGUAUUAAACCGUUUUUA
Long non-coding RNA from Helianthus annuus (common sunflower), 804 nucleotides. RefSeq lists it as uncharacterized. The record is from RefSeq and is a predicted model, not a curated record. The transcript is spliced from 3 exons. NCBI's taxonomy places the organism in Eukaryota, Viridiplantae, Streptophyta, Magnoliopsida, Asterales, Asteraceae.